RNAcentral lists this transfer RNA (72 nucleotides) under Clostridia bacterium. RNAcentral describes it as "tRNA-Val". It matches the Rfam family "tRNA". From Rfam's summary of the family: Transfer RNA (tRNA) molecules are approximately 80 nucleotides in length. Their secondary structure includes four short double-helical elements and three loops (D, anti-codon, and T loops). Lineage: Bacteria; Bacillati; Bacillota; Clostridia. The record is from RNAcentral.
GGGCAAUUAACUCAGAGGGAGAGUGUCUUCUUGACGUGGAGAAAGUCAUAGGUUCGAAUCCUAUAUUGCCCA